RNAcentral lists this transfer RNA (73 nucleotides) under Gastrotheca abdita (Cordillera Colan marsupial frog). RNAcentral's name for it is "tRNA-Leu". It matches the Rfam family "tRNA". From Rfam's summary of the family: Transfer RNA (tRNA) molecules are approximately 80 nucleotides in length. Their secondary structure includes four short double-helical elements and three loops (D, anti-codon, and T loops). The record is from RNAcentral. Lineage: Eukaryota; Metazoa; Chordata; Amphibia; Anura; Hemiphractidae.
GUUAGUGUAGCAAAAUCUGGAAUUGCAAAAGGCCUAAACCCUUUCCAUAGAAGUUCAAAUCCUCUCCCUAACU